UUUUGCCAACACCAGGAGAACCAAUGACCAAGAUUGAUCCUCCUCCCUCUAUCAAGUCUCUUAUGAUCUCUGCACUUCCAGACACAGCUCUACCAACUCUACAUGUUAGACCAAUUAUUUGCAGUUUCCGGUUACGUAUAGCGCUUAUACGAUGCAACGAUCUGUUAAUCCCCGACCGGUUAUCAUCCGAAAAAUCACCAACCUAUAAUUGAAAAGUAAUUGAAAAAGCUAAAAAUAUUUGAUAAGUGAGUUUGCGUGUGAUAAGAGAUCAAAGACACGCACACACCUUUGAUACGGCAAGCUUCAGAUCUUGCUGUGUGACAGGCAUCUCCGAGAUCACCCAAUCGCCGGAAGGGAAUCGAGCGAGUGGCUUUCUCCCUAAAUCCAUCACUACUUCGAUCAAUUCCCCGAUCGCCUCGUGCUUAACGAGCUCUUUCCGAGUCGCCGGAGGGAGGAUCUCGAGGAAAGCGUCGAGCUCCACCACCGUUGGAGGCGACGGCGGCGUCUUCCGAGAUGAGGAGCUUUCUGAAGGUAGCUGAACGUCGAAGGUGAAUCCAUCAGACGGUUUCCGUAGUGGAGACGGUGAAGCAGGAGACUUCGACGAUGCGAUCCUCUGACGCGCGCCACGUGUUCGACGGAAUGAGGAGGAGGAGGAGUCGGAUGAGAAGGCGGUUGCGGUGGCGGAGAUCAACCGUCGCGAAUAUUAUUUACGAAGACUUUUACAGUGAAUGUACAAUGUUCAAGCAUGUCUCCAAUGUAUAUAUGAUCCAUGUACUGAGUCAGAGAUGUCAAUCCUUGAGGAAAGGAAGACGAGUCACUGUAUUUCCCAUGCUAUCAUCUCCUGCUUUCUUUGGAGACAACAUUUUUUUGGUGGAUCUUCGAGGAAGUAUCUGAAGACGAGGGUUAAGGUGAGUGCCGAGAUUCUCCACCGCGAGUUGAUAACUCUCUACCAGCUCUAGCUGCCGGACUAUUAUGUCUGACCGUCUUGGAAGAAGCUCCACCGGUUCACCUCCUGGGAUGACUAUGUAUUCGAUUGCUAGACGUACCUCCUGCAUUACAGAAACAUGGACUAGAUCAGUUACUACACUGGCAAGUGCCUAAACUAUAUUCAGUGUAAACCAUAUUGAGCCUUUUGUACAUGAGACUGUUUAAAUUCAGUGAACUAAGAGAUAUUAGUUUUACCUCGAGGGCAUCAAGUUCUUCUAAACUGGGUUUGCUCUCUGGAGCAUCAUCGUUGAUCUCAAUAUCAUCAACAGAAGACUUCUUCUCUAUGGUUAUAGGGGCUGAGCCAAACGAUUCUCUCCCAAGGAUCAUUCGAACUGCCUUGACCAUCUGAGCCAUUGUAGUUGACUGCAAGGUAAAAACAUGAAGAAGGAAAUGGAUCUAACUAGUGAAACAUAGGAAUACUCUAAAUCAUCAUUAUCAUCAGUCAUCAUACAAGAAGAAGGAUACCUUGAUGACAAAUAUCGGCAGCUUGUGUAAUUUGGCAACACGGCGGAUCGAGGGAUUCUGUUUCAGUUCAGAACUUGAGGCUAGAAUGACAUCUGCUUCUCCAACGUCAUCUGUCACUUCUAUGUCGUCUUCCAGUCCCAUCACUUCGGCUACUUGAAGGAGAUCAGCUUCGGCGACCUAAAUCACAGUAAUAUAGUUAGUAUCUUUCGCUCUUUAAGAUCAAGAUUACUUUCCAAUGAGGGGUUCCUUACAUUGUAAGUAUAAACAUGAACAGGUGAACUUCUUUGGCUCACGGAUAUGUUUCUGCUAGCCUUCUUAUACCGAGAGGGAAGGAAGUCUUCAUCUUCGUCGUCAGAGAGCACUUCACUUGCAAAAUCUAUGUUGAGCAGUGGUGCAGGCUCCACUUCAAGGCUCUCCAGAGGAAUGGGAGUCACUAGCUUAUGAGGAACAUCGUCUUCGCCACGAAUCUGACGGAUCUCACAUGGAGCGGACUUCCCUAUAAUAACAAAAAAAGUUGUUCAGUUUGGAUUCACUAUGAAGGGGGAAACUGUUUUAAAGUUAACUUACCAGCAAGUAUAGCAUCAACAGUGACAUCUAGCCGUUGAUGAACACGGCACUCCGUUCUCGAAAUCAUCUCUACAGCACAAGUAAACGUUGGUGGUCCUUUUCUUUCGAGAAUUGUCUUCUGCACUUUUCGUUUCCUUGCUUCUUCAUCACCAAGAGUCACACUCUGUUUAAAAAAAAAUUCAAUUUAAUGUCCACUCUUACAAUAAAAGAGCAAAAGAAGAAGAAGGUUGAAGUCUAAGGUCACAACCUCAAUACCACCAAUAAGGAUCUGCAAUGAUGGAUUCUUGAUGAUGUUGUCAAUAGUCAUCCCAUGAGCAGUUGCAACAAGCUGGACUCCUCUCUGAGCAAUAGUGCUAGCAGCUAAUGCCUCAAGCUCUGUUCCUAUCUCAUCUAUAAUUAUAGUCUCAGGCAUGUGAUUCUCAACCGCCUCAAUCAUAACCUGUGUGAGAGAUUAAGAUUCUUUUCAUUCCAUCUCGCAACAUAUACUUUUAUCACAAAGGUCAAGAGUUCAUAGAACGUACAUCGUGCUGCAAAUUCACAUUUGGAACUUGCAUCCGCCUAGCACGGCCGAUUCCAGAAUGAGGAACAUCGCCAUCACCACCAAUCUCAUUUGACGUGUCGACAAUCACCACACGUUUCCUGUGCUCAUCAGCUAGCAUCCGUGCGAUUUCUCUGUAACAUCACAAUCGCAUUAGGUGAACAUCAUUCAUUACAUUAAAGUUCAUUAAUAAACAAACGUACCUGAUUAAAGUUGUUUUGCCAACACCAGGAGAACCAAUGACCAAGAUUGAUCCUCCUCCCUCUAUCAAGUCUCUUAUGAUCUCUGCACUUCCAGACACAGCUCUACCAACUCUACAUGUUAGACCAAUUAUUUGCAGUUUCCGGUUACGUAUAGCGCUUAUACGAUGCAACGAUCUGUUAAUCCCCGACCGGUUAUCAUCCGAAAAAUCACCAACCUAUAAUUGAAAAGUAAUUGAAAAAGCUAAAAAUAUUUGAUAAGUGAGUUUGCGUGUGAUAAGAGAUCAAAGACACGCACACACCUUUGAUACGGCAAGCUUCAGAUCUUGCUGUGUGACAGGCAUCUCCGAGAUCACCCAAUCGCCGGAAGGGAAUCGAGCGAGUGGCUUUCUCCCUAAAUCCAUCACUACUUCGAUCAAUUCCCCGAUCGCCUCGUGCUUAACGAGCUCUUUCCGAGUCGCCGGAGGGAGGAUCUCGAGGAAAGCGUCGAGCUCCACCACCGUUGGAGGCGACGGCGGCGUCUUCCGAGAUGAGGAGCUUUCUGAAGGUAGCUGAACGUCGAAGGUGAAUCCAUCAGACGGUUUCCGUAGUGGAGACGGUGAAGCAGGAGACUUCGACGAUGCGAUCCUCUGACGCGCGCCACGUGUUCGACGGAAUGAGGAGGAGGAGGAGUCGGAUGAGAAGGCGGUUGCGGUGGCGGAG
RNAcentral lists this long non-coding RNA (3459 nucleotides) under Brassica napus (rape). Its description in RNAcentral is "long non-coding RNA (BNAP_LNC004698)". Lineage: Eukaryota; Viridiplantae; Streptophyta; Magnoliopsida; Brassicales; Brassicaceae. The record is from RNAcentral.